RNAcentral lists this ribosomal RNA (292 nucleotides) under uncultured bacterium. RNAcentral describes it as "partial 16S ribosomal RNA". It matches the Rfam family "Bacterial small subunit ribosomal RNA", at positions 505 to 796 of the family's 1533-position model. The record is from RNAcentral.
GUGUCAGCAGCCGCGGUAAGACGAACCGUGCGAACGUUAUUCGGAAUCACUGGGCUUAAAGGGCGCGUAGGCGGGAUCCCAAGUCUGCGGUGAAAGCCUCCAGCUUAACUGGAGAAGUGCCGUGGAUACUGGGAUUCUCGAGGAGGGUAGGGGCAUCUGGAACGUUGGGUGGAGCGGUGAAAUGCGUUGAUAUCCAACGGAACUCCGGUGGCGAAGGCGAGGUGCUGGACCCUUUCUGACGCUGAGGCGCGAAAGCCAGGGGAGCGAACGGGAUUAGAUACCCCGGUAGUCC